This 510-nucleotide ribosomal RNA is filed under the name Candida albicans. Its description in RNAcentral is "eukaryotic LSU rRNA". It matches the Rfam family "Eukaryotic large subunit ribosomal RNA", at positions 71 to 559 of the family's 3401-position model. Lineage: Eukaryota; Fungi; Ascomycota; Pichiomycetes; Serinales; Debaryomycetaceae. The record is from RNAcentral.
GGGCCCUCAAUAGCGGGCGAGUGAACGGCAAAAGCUCAAAUUUGAAAUCUGGCGUCUUUGGCGUCCGCCGUUGUAAUUUGAAGAAGGUAUCUUUGGGCCCGGCUCUUGUCUAUGUUCCUUGGAACAGGACGUCACAGAGGGUGAGAAUCCCGUGCGAUGAGAUGACCCGGGUCUGUGUAAAGUUCCUUCGACGAGUCGAGUUGUUUGGGAAUGCAGCUCUAAGUGGGUGGUAAAUUCCAUCUAAAGCUAAAUAUUGGCGAGAGACCGAUAGCGAACAAGUACAGUGAUGGAAAGAUGAAAAGAACUUUGAAAAGAGAGUGAAAAAGUACGUGAAAUUGUUGAAAGGGAAGGGCUUGAGAUCAGACUUGGUAUUUUGCAUGCUGCUCUCUCGGGGGCGGCCGCUGCGGUUUACCGGGCCAGCAUCGGUUUGGAGCGGCAGGAUAAUGGCGGAGGAAUGUGGCACGGCUUCUGCUGUGUGUUAUAGCCUCUGACGAUGCUGCCAGCCUAGAC